Long non-coding RNA from Suricata suricatta (meerkat), 594 nucleotides. RefSeq lists it as uncharacterized. Lineage: Eukaryota; Metazoa; Chordata; Mammalia; Carnivora; Herpestidae. The transcript has 2 exons. The record is from RefSeq and is a predicted model, not a curated record.
CCAACGGAAUGAGGAGAAGGGCUUCCACAGGACUUCAAAAGACAAAUUAGAAAGGGCCUACAAGUAUAUACCUAGACCUGGUCUUCUGGUGCACGGACUCUGGGAGAAAACCGCACGAGAAGUCUGGCUACCGUGAGACCCCAGUGCUCUGAGGAAACCUAAGCUAACGACGGGUGAAGGUUGCUGGGGAGAGAGAGAUGGCCCAGCAGCCCCCACCAGGAGCUCCAGCUGGAGAGCCCGCAAUGCAUGUGACAAAGCCUUCAGGUGCCUCCAGCAUCAGCCACCAUCAGAUUACAACCACAUGAGGGUCCCCAACAAGCAAAAUUGCCCAGCUGAACCCAUCAAGCCGCAGAACGAUCAAAUAUUAAUUACUGAAAGACUACUGAAGAAAAGAAUUGCCAUGGCAAUGAAAUGUCAAUUUGAAGUUUGAAUUUGCAAAAGUGACACUUGGCCUGAAAUAAGGAUAUCACCACCAGAUGGAUGAUGCCAUGGUUAUUACCUUGAGGUCUAAAUAGCAAUGAGAUAUGAAUGUUAUCAAAUAACAAUUCUAGUCUACUCAAUUAUGCCCUUAAAAAUAAAAUCAUUAUCAUCAUA